This 200-nucleotide unclassified non-coding RNA is filed under the name soil metagenome. RNAcentral's name for it is "partial contains internal transcribed spacer 2 and large subunit ribosomal RNA". The record is from RNAcentral.
CUGAUCAUUUGAAAUGUAUUGGUGUCGUCUAGCUGACAGUCGCCGCGUAAGCAUUGUUAAUCAUCUUUAUUGAUGUUCCUUGCUAUACUACGUGGACCAACGACAAUAAGCAUCCAUUAGCACGAUCCAAGCACAAACUCCAAAUACUUGUAUUUAACCAUCUUGAUCUCAGAUCAGGCAGGAUGACCCGCUGAACUUAA